AGUGAACGCUGGCGGUAGGCCUAACACAUGCAAGUCGAACGGCAGCACAGUAAGAGCUUGCUCUUACGGGUGGCGAGUGGCGGACGGGUGAGGAAUACAUCGGAAUCUACUUUUUCGUGGGGGAUAACGUAGGGAAACUUACGCUAAUACCGCAUACGACCUACGGGUGAAAGCAGGGGAUCUUCGGACCUUGCGCGAUUGAAUGAGCCGAUGUCGGAUUAGCUAGUUGGCGGGGUAAAGGCCCACCAAGGCGACGAUCCGUAGCUGGUCUGAGAGGAUGAUCCGCCACACUGGAACUGAGACACGGUCCAGACUCCUACGGGAGGCAGCAGUGGGGAAUAUUGGACAAUGGGCGCAGGCCUGAUCCAGCCAUACCGCGUGGGUGAAGAAGGCCUUCGGGUUGUAAAGCCCUUUUGUUGGGAAAGAAAAGCAGCAGGUUAAUACCCCGCUGUUCUGACGGUACCCAAAGAAUAAGCACCGGCUAACUUCGUG
RNAcentral lists this ribosomal RNA (492 nucleotides) under uncultured bacterium. RNAcentral's name for it is "partial 16S ribosomal RNA". It matches the Rfam family "Bacterial small subunit ribosomal RNA", at positions 29 to 507 of the family's 1533-position model. The record is from RNAcentral.